This 254-nucleotide ribosomal RNA is filed under the name uncultured bacterium. RNAcentral's name for it is "partial 16S ribosomal RNA". It matches the Rfam family "Bacterial small subunit ribosomal RNA", at positions 524 to 776 of the family's 1533-position model. The record is from RNAcentral.
UACGUAGGGGGGCAAGCGUUGUCCGGAAUCAUUGGGCGUAAAGAGCGUGUAGGCGGUUCGGUAAGUCGGCUGUGAAAGUCCAGGGCUCAACCCUGGGAUGCCGGUCGAUACUGCCGGACUAGAGUUCGGAAGAGGCGAGUGGAAUUCCCGGUGUAGCGGUGAAAUGCGCAGAUAUCGGGAGGAACACCUAUGGCGAAGGCAGCUCGCUGGGACGUUACUGACGCUGAGACGCGAAAGCGUGGGGAGCAAACAGG